AUUGAACGCUGGCGGCAUGCUUUACUCAUGCAAGUCGAACGGUAACGCGGGGGCAACCCUGGCGACGAGUGGCGAACGGGUGAGUAAUACAUCGGAACGUGUCCUGGAGUGGGGGUUAGCUAGGCGAAAGCCGGAUUAAUACCGCAUACGGUCUGAGGAGGAAGGCGGGGGCCCUUCGGGCCUCGCGCUGCGGGAGCGGCCGAUGUCGGAUUAGCUAGUUGGUGGGGUAAAGGCCCACCAAGGCGACGAUCCGUAGCUGGUCUGAGAGGAUGAUCAGCCACACUGGGACUGCGACACGGCCCAGACUCCUACGGGAGGCAGCAGUGGGGAAUUUUGGACAAUGGGGGCAACCCUGAUCCAGCCAUGCCGCGUGAGUGAAGAAGGCCUUCGGGUUGUAAAGCUCUUUCGGACGGAACGAAACGGUUACGGUGAAUAAUCGUGACUAAUGACGGUACCGUAAGAAGAAGCACCGGCUAACUACGUGCCAGCCGCCGCAGUAA
RNAcentral lists this ribosomal RNA (500 nucleotides) under uncultured bacterium. Its description in RNAcentral is "partial 16S ribosomal RNA". It matches the Rfam family "Bacterial small subunit ribosomal RNA", at positions 29 to 523 of the family's 1533-position model. The record is from RNAcentral.